ACAGAGGUCCCAAGCGUUGUUCGGAUUCACUGGGCGUAAAGGGUGCGCAGGUGGGUUUGCAAGUUCGAUGUGAAAGCCCCGGGCUUAACCCGGGAAUGGCAUUGGAUACUGCAGAUCUGGAGGAUCGGAGGGGGGACUGGAAUUCUUGGUGUAGCAGUGAAAUGCGUAGAUAUCUGGAGGAACACCGGUGGCGAAAGCGGUUCACUGGCCCGACACUGACACUGAGGUGCGAAAGCUAGGGUAGCAAACGGGA
This 253-nucleotide ribosomal RNA is filed under the name uncultured prokaryote. RNAcentral's name for it is "partial 16S ribosomal RNA". It matches the Rfam family "Bacterial small subunit ribosomal RNA", at positions 525 to 777 of the family's 1533-position model. The record is from RNAcentral.